RNAcentral lists this ribosomal RNA (567 nucleotides) under Triticum aestivum (bread wheat). Its description in RNAcentral is "partial small subunit ribosomal RNA". Lineage: Eukaryota; Viridiplantae; Streptophyta; Magnoliopsida; Poales; Poaceae. The record is from RNAcentral.
AUGGCUCCGGUGGUUAGUGUGCGCCGCAGAGCGACUGCAACUUUACUGUGUUGUUGGUUGCAACCGGCGUUUUGGUUUGCUGGUGGCAAGCUAGCUUCGGUCAGCGGCGGUGUUGUAGAAGCCUUUAUAUUCCUGGUUGAUGAUGCUGCGCCAGGAUCCUCAGGAUCCCGAGCCCGAGCGACGAGGUGGUCCAAAUCUGGCACGGGGACCGGUCGGCGAUCCAACCGGCCGACCGUGGUGACCGUGAGCUGCCACGACCAGACGGGCUUGGGCUGCGAUCUCUGCCGCCUCGUCCUCCUCUUCGGCCUCAACGUCUUCAAGGGCGACAUGAGCACCGACGGCCGCUGGUGCUACAUCGUGCUCUGGGUGGCCGCCUCGCGCCGGGGCCGGGCCGUCGCAUGUCCUCAAGGAGCGCCUCGUCGAGCUCUGCCCCGUCCCCGCGCCCUUCGGCGUCGACAGCGACUACCUCGCAGCCGCCGGCCUCCAGGAUCCCGACAGCCUCGCGGAGCCCCAGGUGUUUCUGCUCAAGUUCUGCUGCUACGACCGGAUGGGCCUCCUGCACGGUAA